This 441-nucleotide ribosomal RNA is filed under the name uncultured bacterium. Its description in RNAcentral is "partial 16S ribosomal RNA". It matches the Rfam family "Bacterial small subunit ribosomal RNA", at positions 338 to 795 of the family's 1533-position model. The record is from RNAcentral.
CCUACGGGAGGCAGCAGUGGGGAAUAUUGCACAAUGGGGGAAACCCUGAUGCAGCGACGCCGCGUGAGUGAAGAAGUAUUUCGGUAUGUAAAGCGCUAUCAGCAGGAACGAGACAAGACGGUACCUGACUAAGAAGCCGCGGCUCACUACGGGCCAGCAGCCGCGGUAGUACGUAGGGGGCAAGCGUUAUCCGGAAUCACGGGGGUGAAAGGGAGCGUAGACGGCUGUGCAAGCCUGAAGUGAAAGGCGGGGGGCCACACCCUGGACUGCUUUUGGAACUGUACUGCUGGAGUGCAGGAGAGGUAAGUGGAAAUCCUAGGGUAGCGGUUAAAUGCGGAUAUAUUUGGAGGCACCCCAGUGGCGGAGGCGGCUUACCGGACUGUAACCGACGUUGAGGCCCCAAAGCGUGGGGAGCAAACAGGAUUAGAUACCCGGGUAGUC